RNAcentral lists this ribosomal RNA (497 nucleotides) under uncultured bacterium. Its description in RNAcentral is "partial 16S ribosomal RNA". It matches the Rfam family "Bacterial small subunit ribosomal RNA", at positions 28 to 507 of the family's 1533-position model. The record is from RNAcentral.
GAUGAACGCUGGCGGCGUGCCUAAUACAUGCAAGUCGAGCGAACGGACGAGAAGCUUGCUUUUCUGAUGUUAGCGGCGGACGGGUGAGUAACACGUGGAUAACCUACCUAUAAGACUGGGAUAACUUCGGGAAACCGGAGCUAAUACCGGAUAAUAUUUUGAACCGCAUGGUUCAAAAGUGAAAGACGGUCUUGCUGUCACUUAUAGAUGGAUCCGCGCUGCAUUAGCUAGUUGGUAAGGUAACGGCUUACCAAGGCAACGAUGCAUAGCCGACCUGAGAGGGUGAUCGGCCACACUGGAACUGAGACACGGUCCAGACUCCUACGGGAGGCAGCAGUAGGGAAUCUUCCGCAAUGGGCGAAAGCCUGACGGAGCAACGCCGCGUGAGUGAUGAAGGUCUUCGGAUCGUAAAACUCUGUUAUUAGGGAAGAACAUAUGUGUAAGUAACUGUGCACAUCUUGACGGUACCUAAUCAGAAAGCCACGGCUAACCACGUG